This 451-nucleotide long non-coding RNA is filed under the name Capsicum annuum. Its description in RNAcentral is "long non-coding RNA (CANN_LNC005290)". Lineage: Eukaryota; Viridiplantae; Streptophyta; Magnoliopsida; Solanales; Solanaceae. The record is from RNAcentral.
AAAAUUUUAUUUUAAAAUUAAAAAUUAUAAAUAAUUUUUUUCUAUUUCUCUUUGCCGCUUCGCUUUAUCUCUCCCCUCUAAUUUCCUCUUCAUCUUUCUUCUUUAUUUUCAUCAAAUCCAUCAUUAAUCGAACGUUUGUUCAAAAAUUUUAUUUUAAAAUUAAAAAUUAUAAAUAAUUCAUCUUAUUUAUGGUGUUAACAACUUUAAGUACAUUUAAAUCAUUUAACAACAAAAAAGUGACUUUAUUUUCAUCGAAUUCAUCAUUAAUCAAGAUUUGUUCAAAAAUUUUAUUUUAAAAUUAAAAAUUUUAAAUAAUUUUUUUCUAUUUUUCUUUGCCGCUUCGCUUUAUCUCUCCCCUCUAAUUUCCUCUUCAUCUUUCCUCUUUAUUUUCAUCGAAUCCAUCAUUAAUCGAAGGUUUGUUCAAAAAUUUUAUUUUAAAAUUAAAAAUUAU